This 640-nucleotide ribosomal RNA is filed under the name uncultured archaeon. RNAcentral describes it as "bacterial SSU rRNA". It matches the Rfam family "Archaeal small subunit ribosomal RNA", at positions 1 to 642 of the family's 1478-position model. The record is from RNAcentral.
UUCCGGUUGAUCCCGCCGGAGGCCAUUGCUAUCGGAGUCCGAUUUAGCCAUGCUAGUCGAGCGAGGUUAGCCCUCGCGGCGAACAGCUCAGUAACACGUGGCCAAGCUACCCUGCAGAGGGGGACAGCGUCGGGAAACUGACGGGAAUCCCCCAUACCGGUCUCACGCUGGAAUGCCGAGACCGACAAACGCUCCGGCGCUGCAGGAUGCGGCUGCGGCCGAUUAGGUUGUCGGUGGGGUAACGGCCCACCGAGCCGAUAAUUGGUACGGGGUGUGAGAGCACGAGCCCGGAGACGGAAUCUGAGACAAGAUUCCGGGCCCUACGGGGCGCAGCAGGCGCGAAACCUUUACACUGCACGAACGUGCGAUAAGGGGACUCCGAGUGCGAGGGCAUACAGUCCUCGCUAUUGUGUACCGUAGGGUGGUACACGACCAAGAGCUGGGCAAGACCGGUGCCAGCCGCCGCGGUAAUACCGGCAGCUCGAGUGAUGGCCGAUUUUAUUGGGCCUAAAGCGUCCGUAGCUGGCCCUGCAAGUCCGUCGGGAAAUCCACUCGCCUAACGAGUGGGCGUCCGGCGGAAACUCCAGGGCUUGGGACCGGAAGACUUGAGGGGUACGUCCGGGGUAGGAGUGAAAUCCUG